GGCCACAUCUGCCAGAGCCUGGAGUCUGCGAAGGCCGGGACCCGGUUCCCCGGCCCGCCGUGGGGAGUGUGCAAACCCGAGAGAACUGGGAAGUGCCGUCAGAAGCGAUAACUGACGACGUCUAACGUCUAUCUGACCGCAGUCGCUGAAACCUCUACAACUUAGUUGACCGUAACUGCCAGAGCCCUGCCCUGAAUUCCUGUCCUUACUCCCUCUUUCAGAUUGCGUACCCACUGCAGAGGGCUGAAGACGGGGUAGCCACGAGGUUGCAAAUUCGUGAAGAAUCAGCAGCAUGUUUGGCAGCUGAGUAUUGGAGCCAGGAGCCUGCCAUGAGCUGAUGCAGCCUCAGUGUUCCUUUGCCUUGGGGGUUUCUGAGUGGUGGGGUUGUAAGGAGAGCCUGCCAGGCAUCCAGAAGGAAACCUCAUCAGGACUCCCUCAGAAAGCAGGCCCUGAAGAAUCCUGUGACCUUCCUCUAAAGUAGGUCAUGAGACCCCCUGAGCUUAAAACGGAGUGAUCGGCUUUGGAGAAAAAUCCCUGGAAGGCACCCAGGCUGGACAUCAUCAUAUACUCUCUACAGAUGGAGACACCAAGGCCCACGCCUUCUGUGCUGUUGGAAUUUCAGGAAGGAUGGGGGCGGGGCACGGCCUCAGCCCUGGGCCUGUUCUGCAGAUUGCACUGCUCUUAUCUGCCAGGGGGUGGUGAGAGGGUGGUGAGGGGGUGGUGAGGGGGUGGCUGAGCUGGACAGAUGGAGGGCAGGGACGGGGCUCUGUGGUCUGGCAGCUGACAUUGAUACAAGCAAAUAAAGAGUCUUUGCUGGGG
This 819-nucleotide antisense RNA is filed under the name Pongo abelii (Sumatran orangutan). The stretch from base 63 to 138 matches the Rfam family "Small nucleolar RNA SNORD49". The record is from RNAcentral. Lineage: Eukaryota; Metazoa; Chordata; Mammalia; Primates; Hominidae.